UACGUAGGGUGCAGGCGUUAAUCGGAAUUACUGGGCGUAAAGCGUGCGCAGGCGGUUUGGUAAGACAGAUGUGAAAUCCCCGGGCUUAACCUGGGAACUGCGUUUGUAACUGGCAAGCUAGAGUGUGGCAGAGGGGGGUGGAAUUCCAAGUGUAGCAGUGAAAUGCGUAGAUAUUUGGAGGAACACCAAUGGCGAAGGCAGCCCCCUGGGUUAACACUGACGCUCAUGCACGAAAGCGUGGGGAGCAAACAGG
RNAcentral lists this ribosomal RNA (253 nucleotides) under uncultured bacterium. RNAcentral's name for it is "partial 16S ribosomal RNA". It matches the Rfam family "Bacterial small subunit ribosomal RNA", at positions 524 to 776 of the family's 1533-position model. The record is from RNAcentral.